Molecule: ribosomal RNA, 482 nt
Filed under: uncultured bacterium
Lineage: Bacteria
Description: partial 16S ribosomal RNA
Rfam family: Bacterial small subunit ribosomal RNA
Source: RNAcentral
AUUGAACGCUGGCGGCAUGCUUUACACAUGCAAGUCGAACGGCAGCGCGGGGCAACCUGGCGGCGAGUGGCGAACGGGUGAGUAAUAUAUCGGAACGUACCCAGUAGUUGGGGAUAACGUAGCGAAAGGUACGCUAAUACCGCAUACGAUCUACGGAUUAAAGCAGGGGACCGCAAGGCCGUAUGCCGUUGUAGCGGCCGCUAUCUGAUUAGCUAGUUGGUGAGGUAAAGGCUCACCAAGGCGACGAUCAGUAGCUGGUCUGAGAGGACGAUCAGCCACACUGGAACUGAGACACGGUCCAGACUCCUACGGGAGGCAGCAGUGGGGAAUUUUGGACAAUGGGCGCAAGCCUGAUCCAGCAAUGCCGCGUGAGUGAAGAAGGCCUUCGGGUUGUAAAGCUCUGUUGUCAGGGAAGAAAAGGUAGAGGAGAAUAUCCUUUGCUAAUGACGGUACCUGAAGAAUAAGCACCGGCUAACUACGUG